This 470-nucleotide ribosomal RNA is filed under the name soil bacterium RFS-I44. RNAcentral describes it as "bacterial SSU rRNA". It matches the Rfam family "Bacterial small subunit ribosomal RNA", at positions 8 to 524 of the family's 1533-position model. The record is from RNAcentral.
AGAGUUUGAUCCUGGCUCAGAGCGAACGCUGGCGGCAGGCUUAACACAUGCAAGUCGAGCGGACCUUUCGGGGUCAGCGGCGGACGGGUGAGUAACGCGUGGGAACGUGCCUUCCGGUUCGGAAUAACCCUGGGAAACUAGGGCUAAUACCGGAUACGCCCUUAUGGGGAAAGGUUUACUGCCGGAAGAUCGGCCCGCGUCUGAUUAGCUAGUUGGUGGGGUAACGGCCUACCAAGGCGACGAUCAGUAGCUGGUCUGAGAGGAUGAUCAGCCACACUGGGACUGAGACACGGCCCAGACUCCUACGGGAGGCAGCAGUGGGGAAUAUUGGACAAUGGGCGCAAGCCUGAUCCAGCCAUGCCGCGUGAGUGAUGAAGGCCUUAGGGUUGUAAAGCUCUUUUAUCCGGGACGAUAAUGACGGUACCGGAGGAAUAAGCCCCGGCUAACUUCGUGCCAGCAGCCGCGGUAAU